AGGGAAUCUUCCGCAAUGGACGAAAGUCUGACGGAGCAACGCCGCGUGAGUGAUGAAGGUUUUCGGAUCGUAAAGCUCUGUUGCCAGGGAAGAACGUCCUGUAGAGUAACUGCUACAGGAGUGACGGUACCUGAGAAGAAAGCCCCGGCUAACUACGUGCCAGCAGCCGCGGUAAUACGUAGGGGGCAAGCGUUGUCCGGAAUUAUUGGGCGUAAAGCGCGCGCAGGCGGCUGUUUAAGUCUGGUGGUUAAUCCUGGGGCUCAACCCCGGGUCGCACCGGAAACUGGACGGCUUGAGUGCAGAAGAGGAGAGUGGAAUUCCACGUGUAGCGGUGAAAUGCGUAGAGAUGUGGAGGAACACCAGUGGCGAAGGCGACUCUCUGGGCUGUAACUGACGCUGAGGCGUGAAAGCGUGGGGAGCAAAC
Molecule: ribosomal RNA, 424 nt
Filed under: uncultured bacterium
Lineage: Bacteria
Description: bacterial SSU rRNA
Rfam family: Bacterial small subunit ribosomal RNA
Source: RNAcentral